UACGGGGGGGGCAAGCGUUGUUCGGAAUUACUGGGCGUAAAGGGCUCGUAGGCGGCCAACUAAGUCAGACGUGAAAUCCCUCGGCUUAACCGGGGAACUGCGUCUGAUACUGGAUGGCUUGAGGUUGGGAGAGGGACGCGGAAUUCCAGGUGUAGCGGUGAAAUGCGUAGAGAUCGGGAGGAAGGCCGGUGGCGAAGGCGGCGCUCUGGAACGUUUCUGACGCUGAGGCUCGAAAGCGUGGGGAGCAAACAGG
Molecule: ribosomal RNA, 253 nt
Filed under: uncultured prokaryote
Description: partial 16S ribosomal RNA
Rfam family: Bacterial small subunit ribosomal RNA
Source: RNAcentral